GAAAAGAACCUGAAACCCUGUGUUUACAAGCUGUGGAAGCACUUUAUAUGUGCGACCGCGUACUUUUUGUAGAACGGUCCGGCGAGUUACGCUGGCAGGCAAGGUUAAGCACUCAAGGUGUGGAGCCGGAGAGAAAUCAAGUCUUAAUAGGGCGCAGGAGUCAAGUCUUACGACUUACUCCACAAGUCUGUCAGAGUAGACCCGAAACCGGGUGAUCUAUCCAUGUCCAGGUUGAAGUUGCCGUAAAAGGCAAUGGAGGACCGAACCCACAUCCGUUGAAAAGGGUGGGGAUGAGAUGUGGAUAGCGGAGAAAUUCCAAUCGAACCCGGAGAUAGCUGGUUCUCCUCGAAAUAGCUUUAGGGCUAGCCUCAAUUGAAAGAUUUGCGGAGGUAGAGCACUGAAUAUCCUAGGGGGCGUCAAAGCUUACCGAAGAUUAUCAAACUCCGAAUGCCGUGUAAUUGUUGAUUGGGAGUCAGACUGUACGAGAUAAGUUGGACAGUCAAAAGGGAAAGAGCCCAGACCUCCAGCUAAGGUCCCAAAGUAUGUGUUAAGUGGAAAAGGAUGUGAGAUUUCGAAGACAACUAGGAUGUUGGCUCAGAAGCAGCCAUACAUUAAAAGAGUGCGUAAUAGCUCACUAGUCGAGAGGUCUUGCGCCGAAAAUGUCCGGGGCUAAAACACAACACCGAAGCUGUGGAAUGUAUUUAUACAUUGGUAGAGGAGCAUUCUUAACUUAGCGAAGCGAUACUGUAAGGAGUCGUGGAGAGUUAAGAAGAGAGAAUGCCGGAAUGAGUAGCGAGAUAGAAGUGAGAAUCUUCUAGGCCGAAUAUCUAAGGUUUCCAGAGUAAAGCUGAUCUGCUCUGGGUAAGUCGGGGCCUAAGGCGAGGUCGAAAGACGUAGUCGAUGGACAACAGGUUGAAAUUCCUGUACUGCAAUAAAACAGAACUGUGGGGACACAGGUCGAACGUCAGAGCCAGGAUUGGAAAAACUGGUGCAAGCGAGGUAUCUGGUUGGUAGGAAAAUCCGCCAGCUAAGGAGAAGACGUGAUGCGUACCGAACUAAAAGUAGGGAAGCUGAUAGACGAACUGUCAAGAAAAGCCGCUAUUGUUUUUAUUGUACCCGUACCGUAAACCGACACAGGUGGAUGAGGAGAGAAUCCUAAGGCCGACGGGAGAAGCAUUGUUAAGGAACUCGGCAAAAUGACCCCGUAACUUCGGGAGAAGGGGUGCCUACGAAAGUAGGCCGCAGAGAAUUGGCCCAAGCAACUGUUUAGCAAAAACACAGGUCUAUGCAAAACCGAAAGGUGAAGUAUAUGGGCUGACGCCUGCCCGGUGCUGGAAGGUUAAGGGGAGAGGUUAGCGCAAGCGAAGCUUUGAACUUAAGCCCCAGUAAACGGCGGCCGUAACAAUAACGGGUCCUAAGGUAGCGAAAUUCCUUGUCAGGUAAGUUCUGACCCGCACGAAAGGCGUAACGAUUUGGGCACUGUCUCAACAAUGCACCCGGUGAAAUUGAAGAACCAGUGAAGAUACUGGUUACCCGCGACAGGACGGAAAGACCCCAUGGAGCUUUACUGCAGGUUGACACUGGGGCCAGGUUAAUGAUGUACAGGAUAGGAGGGAGACAGCGAAGCUAGUACGCCAGUACUAGUGGAGUCAAUGGUGGGAUACCUCUCUUCAUUAAUCUGACCUCUAACCUACUACCGUAAACCGGUAGAGGGACAAUAUCAGUCGGGCAGUUUGACUGGGGCGGUCGCCUCCUAAAGAGUAGCGGAGGCGCUCAAAGGUCACCUCAGAAUGAUUGGAAACCAUUCAAAGAGUGUAAAGGCAGA
This 1825-nucleotide ribosomal RNA is filed under the name Blattella germanica (German cockroach). RNAcentral describes it as "bacterial LSU rRNA". It matches the Rfam family "Bacterial large subunit ribosomal RNA", at positions 541 to 2361 of the family's 2925-position model. The record is from RNAcentral. Lineage: Eukaryota; Metazoa; Arthropoda; Insecta; Blattodea; Blattellidae.